UUUGCAACUACGUGUCCCAGACUGCAUCCCUGCUGAGAGUCCCUCCCUCCCUUCUCAUGUUGCAGGAAGAACGUAAGCGCCCGCCCCUUGUCAAUCAGUCACCAUAUAAUUUUGGAUUGGUUGUUGUGGUGAAGUUUUCCACCAAUAGGAGAGAUGUUGUGGUGUGUUUUUUUUUUCUUUUGGCAAGCCUUUUCCGCCUGUAAGACCUGUCGCUAAUGUCUGCAUGCUAUGUUUUCCUGUCUCAUACAGCGCGAUCGAGCGCCGAACGUGAUCAAAAUAAGCAGAAAACAAGUAUCGCGGACAUAAUUUAUCAUAACUCUGGUUUUAUUUGGCCUAUCAACACAAUUUAAAAACUGGUAUAUAGGUUGAGGUCCUCACUUUUGAGAUAAGUUGAAACGGAGAGUCAACGAGGCUCCGUCUUGCAGCUACAUCCGGUUAAAUAUUUCAUGUGACUUGAACGCACACAUAGACACACACACACGCACACACACACACACACACACACACACACACACACACACACACACACACACACACUCAGAGUCUGGUUUUUAGCACCUGCAAAAACAUGCUAUUUACAUAUUUGACAAGAAUGCAGAGGCUCCUUUUGCCCCUGAAAAAAAUCAAAUUUCAAACACAACUUGACUGGUCAUUUCUCCAAAAGACAACCAUGAAGCUCCAUCCAAACCUGAAGCAGGCAGUUGGUGCAUGUGUACAGUAACCUGAGGGGAGUGAGGUGAGUGCUUCUGAGGAGAACAUGAGCAGCGAAGAUUCACCUUGGAGCUAGAACAGAGACAUGCACAUGAUUAUACAGGGGCAGGGGCUCAAGUUUUUUCCAGUCGUCUAUACAAUAUGGAAAUUAAUGUGAAAUUAAAACACAAAGUAUUAAUAGAAAGGUAAUGACUGUCCUGUGUAGGUGACAGUGAUAUCCAAUAGGCUAGGCACUCACGAGGCUGGCUGUGGCAAGUGUAAGUGAAAGCAACACGCACUGGCAGGAAGAACAGCAAACACCGAUGAAGGAAAAGGGUCUUUGCAGUGAUGGGCGUUAACAGAGAGGGCGAUGGCCAGAGGACACAAAUGGGACGGGAAGGCAGCACGUUGGGGGGGGGGGGGGGACGCGACACGGCUCGGGCCCGCCAGUGCCCCAACGGGGUCCUAGUUAGGGCCCGAGCGUAGCUGCUAAGCAGCUGCGAGAGCCCUAUUAUUCCCCAAGGGGUUUUUCUUUGUUUCUUUUUAGGGCCCGAGCCAGCUGCAGAGCAGCCGGGCGUAGGCCCUGUUAUUCCUGUAGGGGUUUUUCUUUGUUUCUUUCUUUCUUCUUUUUCCUCCCCUUUGAACUGGAAAAUGGCCCACUUCCCACUGGCGAAAACUCAGGAAAUUUGGCAGGACGACCGGGCCUGGUGAAAAAUUUGAUAUUCCGAAGUCGCCCAAACAAGAAAAUGCAAAAUGGCUCCAUAGCGCCCCCUAAGGUGAAAAUUCACACUAUUGACUGUCACGCCUGUACGCUUUGUCAAAAUGACACAAAAAUUGACACACACAUGUAUCUCAAUAAGAUCUACAAAAAAGUCAGUGCGGGCGUAUCUGUCAAAUGUACGGUUAAAGGGUUAUUUCGCAUUUUUUGCCGAUCCGCACACAUUGGAAUUUCGCUAACUCCUCCGAAGGCUUUCGUUCCACCGGCACCACAUUUAUUCAGGCCAAUCUACACCCCGUGGCCAUUAAAAGUUAUCAAAAUCAUGACGCUGCACCCCACGGUUUAGGUUCUAGGGGGCGCCAAAGAUAACACUAAAAUCCACAUAUUUAAAAGUCUUAUAACUUUUUAUUUUUGUCCUCACUGGCCUCCAAGUUUUCUAGGAUGAUGCAAUGUCCAGCCAUCAACACAUUUGUGAAGGAAUUUUUACUCCCCAAAAGAGCGCCCCCCAUGGCAGGAGAAAAAACUCCAUUUUUUCUUGUCCCCUAAGGUGAAAAUACACAUUGUUGAGUGUCACGCCUAUACGCUUUGUCAAAAUGACACAAAAAUUGACACACACAUGUAACUCAAUAAGAUCUACAAAAAAGUCAGUGCGCGCGUAUCUGUCAAAUGUACAGUUAAAGGGUUAUUCCGCAUUUUUUGCCGAUACGCACACAUUGGAAUUUCGCUAACUCCUCCGAAGGCUUUCGUUCCACCGGCACCACAUUUGCUCAGGCCAAUCUACACCCCAUGGCCAUUAAAAGUUAUUCAAAUCAUGAUGCUGCACCCCAUGGUUUAGGUUCUAGGGGGCGCCAAAGAUAACCCAAAAAUCCACAUUCUUAAAUGUUUUAUAACUUUUUAUUUCUGUCCUCACUGGCCUCCAAGUUUUCUAGGAUGAUGCAAUGUCCAGCCAUCAACACAUUUGUGAAGGAAUUUUUACUCCCCAAAAGAGCGCCCCCCCAUGGUAGGAGAAAAAAGGCAAUUUUUUCUUGUCCCCUUACAUAAAAAUACACAUUGUUGAGUGUCACGCCUGAACGCUUUGUCAUAUUGACACAAAAUUUGACAAUCAUGUGUAUCUCAAUUAGAUCUACGAAAAAGUCAAAGAGCGCGUAUCUGUAUAAUGUACGGUUAAAGGGCUAUUUUGCAUUUUUUGCCGAUUCGCACACAUUGGAAUGUGGCUAUCUCCUCCUAAGGCUUUCGUCCCACCGAUACCAAAUUUGCUCAGGGCUAUCUACACCCCAUGCCCAUUCAAAGUUGUAAAAAUCAUGACGCUGCACCCCACGGUUUACGUUCUAGGGGGCGCCAAAGAUGACCCAAAAAUCCACAUUCUUAAAAGUCAUUUUGGCCACUGCAGGAGUACAGAGUACUGCAGUUCUAGGGGCGCCAAAGAUGACCCAAAAAUCCACAUUCUUAAAAGUCUUUUUGGCCACUGCAGGAGUACAGAGUACUGCAGGAUACACACACAUAUACACACACGCCAACAUACACACACACACACACACACACACACACACACAGACACACACACACACUCAGAGUCUGUUUUUUAGCACCUGCAAAAACAUGCUGUUUACAUAUUUGACAAGAAUGCAGAGGCUUCCUUUUGCCCCUGAAAAAAAUCAAAUUUCAAACACAACUUGACUGUUCAUUUCUCCAAAAGACAACCAUGAAGCUCCAUUUCAAACCUGAAGCAGAUAGUUGGUGCAUGUGUACAGUAACCUGAGGGGAGUGAGGUGACUAUUUCUGAGGAGAACAUGAGCAGUGAAGAUUCACCUUGGAGCUAGAACAGGGACGUGCACAUGAUUAUACAGGGGCAGGGGCUCAAGUUUUUUCCAGUCAUUUAUACAAUAUGGAAAUUAAUGUGAAAUUAAACCACAAAUAUGUGUGAUGAACUGUUUUUAAAACUUAAACUUCAAAUAAAAAUUGUAAACUUCAAAACAUAUGCAAAUUUUUAACAAAGAACAUAGUAAUUUACCUCUAUUUACAUCAAAAUGCAGGCAAUGGCCCAGGCGUUCUUUGUAAAAUUAUUUACAAAACACUGUAUAGUCUCACAAAUGUCACUUUUUAUUUAUGCCACUACAAAAAAACAUGAUGUAAAUGAUGCAUGAUGUAAAACAUGAUGUAAAAAACUUGUGUAGAUCCUCCUCUAUGUCAGUCCAUGUGUAAUUUUUCCAUAAUUCUUUGUUUUUUGCAGCAUUUUUGUUAGUGUAACUGCAGAUUGUGCUGACAGUGUCUAUGGCACAAAAAAAAAAAAAAAUUAAAAUGCCUCAACAUGAACCCCUGGUGGUCUCUGAGGGUGAAACCUGCUAACUGCUGCAGCUCUGUCAGCUUCAGUCUCCCAUGCAGAGCUCUGAGCGCAUGUGUGGCUCUGCACCCUUAGCAGCGUUGCUAACUCCUCAGUAUGGAAAGCCUGCUUCAUGUCAGAGUCUCUAAACUCCAGAAGAAGUCGAUAAAAGUCACUUUCUUUCUAAAAAAAAGUCGUUAGGGUGUCUGAAAAGUCAUUGAAUCUAACAACAAAGUCGCUAGGUUUGCAACUACGUGUCCCAGACUGCAUCCCUGCUGAGAGUCCCUCCCUCCCUUCUCAUGUUGCAGGAAGAACGUAAGCGCCCGCCCCUUGUCAAUCAGUCACCAUAUAAUUUUGGAUUGGUUGUUGUGGUGAAGUUUUCCACCAAUAGGAGAGAUGUUGUGGUGUGUUUUUUUUUUCUUUUGGCAAGCCUUUUCCGCCUGUAAGACCUGUCGCUAAUGUCUGCAUGCUAUGUUUUCCUGUCUCAUACAGCGCGAUCGAGCGCCGAACGUGAUCAAAAUAAGCAGAAAAAAAGUAUCGCGGACAUAAUUUAUCAUAACUCUGGUUUUAUUUGGCCUAUCAACACAAUUUAAAAACUGGUAUAUAGGUUGAGGUCCUCACUUUUGAGAUAAGUUGAAACGGAGAGUCAACGAGGCUCCGUCUUGCAGCUACAUCCGGUUAAAUAUGUCAUGUGACUUGAACGCACACAUAGACACACACACACGCACACACACACACACACACACACACACACACACACACACACACACACACUCAGAGUCUGGUUUUUAGCACCUGCAAAAACAUGCUAUUUACAUAUUUGACAAGAAUGCAGAGGCUCCUUUUGCCCCUGAAAAAAAUCAAAUUUCAAACACAACUUGACUGGUCAUUUCUCCAAAAGACAACCAUGAAGCUCCAUCCAAACCUGAAGCAGGCAGUUGGUGCAUGUGUACAGUAACCUGAGGGGAGUGAGGUGAGUGCUUCUGAGGAGAACAUGAGCAGUGAAGAUUCACCUUGGAGCUAGAACAGAGACAUGCACAUGAUUAUACAGGGGCAGGGGCUCAAGUUUUUUCCAGUCGUUUAUACAAUAUGGAAAUUAAUGUGAAAUUAAAACACAAAGUAUUAAUAGAAAGGUAAUGACUGUCCUGUGUAGGUGACAGUGAUAUCCAAUAGGCUAGGCACUCACGAGGCUGGCUGUGGCAAGUGUAAGUGAAAGCAACACGCACUGGCAGGAAGAACAGCAAACGCCGAUGAAGGAAAAGGGUCUUUGCAGUGAUGGGCGUUAACAGAGAGGGCGAUGGCCAGAGGACACAAAUGGGGCGGGGAGGCAGCACGUUGGGGGGGGGGGGGGGGAGACGCGACACGGCUCGGGCCCGCCAGUGCCCCAACGGGGUCCUAGUAUUAUUAUUUUUCCUCCGCUUUAAACUGGAAAAUGGCCCACUUCCCACUGGCGAAAACUCAGGAAAUUUGGCAGGACGACCGGGCCUGGUGAAAAAUUCGAUAUUCUGAAGUCGCCCAAACAAUAAAAUGCAAAAUGGCUCCAUAGCGCCCCCUAAGGUGAAAAUUCACACUAUUGACUGUCACGCCUGUACGCUUUGUCAUAUUGACACAAAAAUUGACACACACAUGUAUCUCAAUAAGAUCUAAAAAAAAGUCAGUGCGGGCGUAUCUGUCAAAUGUACGGUUAAAGGGUUAUUGCGCAUUUUUUGCCGAUCCGCACACAUUGGAAUUUCGCUAACUCCUCCGAAGGCUUUCGUUCCACCGGCACCACAUUUGCUCAGGCCAAUCUACACUCCAUGGCCAUUCAAAGUUGUACAAAUCAUGACGCUGCACCCCACGGUUUAGGUUCUAGGGGGCGCCAAAAAUAACCCUAAAAUCCACAUUCUUAAAAGUUUUAUAACUUUUUUUUUUUGUCCUCACUGCCCUCCAAGUUUUCUAGGAUGAUGCAAUGUCCAGCCAUCAACACAUUUGUGAAGGAAUUUUUACUCCCCAAAAGAGCGCCCCCCCAUGGCAGGAGAAAAAAGUCCAUUUUUUCUUGUUUCUUUUUCCUCCCCUUUGAACUGGAAAAUGGCCCACUUCCCACUGGCGAAAACUCAUGAAAUUUGGCAGGACGACCGGGCCUGGUGAAAAAUUUGAUAUUCCGAAGUCGCUCAAACAAGAAAAUGCAAAAUGGCUCCAUAGCGCCCCCUAAGGUGAAAAUUCACACUAUUGAGUGUCACGCCUGUACGCUUUGUCAAAAUGACACAAAAUUUGACACACACAUGUAUCUCAAUAAGAUCUACAAAAAAGUCAGUGCGGGCGUAUCUGUCAAAUGUACGGUUAAAGGGUUAUUUCGCAUUUUUUCCCGAUCCGCACACAUUGGAAUUUCGCUAACUCCUCCGAAGGCUUUCGUUCCACCGGCACCACAUUUGCUCAGGCCAAUCUACACCCCA
RNAcentral lists this long non-coding RNA (6160 nucleotides) under Xyrichtys novacula (pearly razorfish). Lineage: Eukaryota; Metazoa; Chordata; Actinopteri; Labriformes; Labridae. The record is from RNAcentral.